Long non-coding RNA from Syzygium oleosum, 448 nucleotides. RefSeq lists it as uncharacterized. The record is from RefSeq and is a predicted model, not a curated record. Lineage: Eukaryota; Viridiplantae; Streptophyta; Magnoliopsida; Myrtales; Myrtaceae. The transcript is spliced from 2 exons.
CUCUCUCGCGCUCGCAUCUCCCUCUCUCCCUCUCCUCCUCGCCGCUCCGCCUCCGAAAUUCACGACUUCCCCCUCCGGCCCGCCGCCACCGCCGCCGUAGCCUCCGCCGGCUGCAGCUCCCGCCGGGACCACGGGCCCGAGCCGGGCGUUUUCCUCCGUCGGUCUGCACGACCGAGCCCUGGGUUUGAGCCGAUCGUCUUCUCGCCAAUCAUCUUCUCGCCGGAAAAAGGGAGGCGGAGGAGGAGUCCAUUAGCCGGAAAAAGGGCGAUAGGAAUAGGCUCAAACCAAGAGACCAAGGAGUCCAUUCACCGAUCGUCUUCUCGCCGAUCUUCGCAAUCGGGAGAAAUUGCAUCUAAAAGCAACCAAUAGAGCAAGGUUCCUUGGCCAGUCUUUCCGUUCAGGAGCUUAGAUGUUCUUCUUUAGGACGGUGGGAAAAUCCACUGGUAAA